UGAACGCUAGCGACAGGCUUAACACAUGCAAGUCGAGGGGCAGCACGGGAGUAGCAAUACAACUGGUGGCGACCGGCGCACGGGUGAGUAACGCGUAUGCAACCUACCUAUCAGAGGGGAAUAACCCGGCGAAAGUCGGACUAAUACCGCAUAAAACAGGGGCACCGCAUGGUGAUAUUUGUUAAAGAAAUUCGCUGAUAGAUGGGCAUGCGUUCCAUUAGGUAGUUGGUGAGGUAACGGCUCACCAAGCCGACGAUGGAUAGGGGAACUGAGAGGUUGGUCCCCCACACUGGUACUGAGACACGGACUAGACUCCUACGGGAGGCAGCAGUGAGGAAUAUUGGUCAAUGGGCGAGAGCCUGAACCAGCCAAGUCGCGUGAAGGAAGAAGGAUCUAUGGUUCGUAAACUUCUUUUGCAGGGGAAUAAAGUGCAGGACGUGUCCUGUUUUGUAUGUACCCUGAGAAUAAGGAUCGGCUAACUCCGUGCCAGCCGCCGC
This 497-nucleotide ribosomal RNA is filed under the name uncultured bacterium. RNAcentral's name for it is "bacterial SSU rRNA". It matches the Rfam family "Bacterial small subunit ribosomal RNA", at positions 30 to 518 of the family's 1533-position model. The record is from RNAcentral.